This 273-nucleotide ribosomal RNA is filed under the name uncultured Negativicutes bacterium. RNAcentral's name for it is "partial 16S ribosomal RNA". It matches the Rfam family "Bacterial small subunit ribosomal RNA", at positions 9 to 291 of the family's 1533-position model. The record is from RNAcentral. Lineage: Bacteria; Bacillati; Bacillota; Negativicutes.
GAGUUUGAUCGUGGCUCAGGACGAACGCUGGCGGCGUGCUUAACACAUGCAAGUCAAGGACUGUAGCAAUACAGGACUGGCGCACGGGUGCGGAACACGUAGGCAAUCUGCCCUUUAGGGGAGAACAACCCGUCGAAAGAACGGGCGUAAACUACCGUACUAUCACGAGGAGGCAUCUCUUUGUUGAUCAAGCUUUCUUAAAGGAAUGAGCCUGCGUCUGAUUAGCUAGUUGGUGAGGUAAUGGCUCACCAGGGCGUACGAUCAGUAGCUGGU